This 825-nucleotide ribosomal RNA is filed under the name Triticum aestivum (bread wheat). Its description in RNAcentral is "partial small subunit ribosomal RNA". Lineage: Eukaryota; Viridiplantae; Streptophyta; Magnoliopsida; Poales; Poaceae. The record is from RNAcentral.
AUGUGUCUACCAAAGAGUAGAGGAGGCAUGGGGUUCAGAGACAUUCAUUGCUUUAAUUUGGCACUGCUAGCAAAACAAGCAUGGUGACUUAUUGAAGAUCCUGAAUCCCUCUGUGCAAAGAUUCUUAAAGCAAAAUAUUAUCCUGAUGUUGAGCUUAUGAAUGCUAGUCUGAAAAAGAAGGCCUCUCAUACAUGGCAAAGUAUAAUGGCAGGUGUGGAGACCUUGAAACAAGGACAUAUUUGGAGGGUGGGAGAUGGUCAAAAAAUAAAAAUAUGGGAAGAUAGUUGGAUCCCACAAUCUCCCACCAGGAAGGUUAUCUCUAGUAGAGGGAAUCACCUCCUCUCUCGAGUGUCAGAUCUUAUAGAUCCAGUGUCAGGUGAAUGGGAUUCAGAGCUGAUAAACCAAACAUUUUGCAGUGUUGAUGUUCAGAGAAUUCUUGCAAUUCCACUACCAAUAUAUGAAAUAACAGACUUUUUAGCUUGGAGUUUCACUAAAACAGGUGGGUUCACCAUAAGAUCAACAUAUCACGUCGUCUGGGAGUCAAGGUUCGGCCAUAAUCUGCAAGGUACAGCGAGUUCUUCCUCGCCGACACCUACGUGGAAUUCGGUGUGGAGCUUGAGCUGCCCAGCAAAGGUUAAAUUUUUUGUUUGGAGAGCACUUCUUAGUGUUGUUCCAUGUCGUGCAAUUCUGGCUAAUAGACAUAUCAAGAUCAAACCAAAUUGUCUUGUAUGUAACCAAGGACCAGAGAGUAUCCAUCACCUGCUAUUUGAAUGUCCAGUUGCGGUUCAGGUUUGGAAGCUCCUUGGAGUGUGGGAUGUAAUAUAG